Brassica oleracea var. oleracea is the source of this 571-nucleotide long non-coding RNA. RefSeq lists it as uncharacterized. Lineage: Eukaryota; Viridiplantae; Streptophyta; Magnoliopsida; Brassicales; Brassicaceae. The record is from RefSeq and is a predicted model, not a curated record.
UGGAUUCAAAAAGAACGAGUGGCGAUAAGCCCAUCAUUAUAAAUAGGCCCAAAUAUGGUCCAGCAACUCAAUAGUAAUAAACUGCAUAAAAUAACAAAUUAAUAUUAAUUUUGGAACCAAGAUCCCCAAAUCUCGAAAACCCUAGAGUCUCCAAUUCGACGAGGACGAUGUUGCGUUUGUUGUUGGCUAAGCAGUCUUGUCGUAUCAAGGGGAGGUUGCAGUAUCGUGAAUUUUCAUCCGUGAGUGAGAAAGCUGUGUCGAAAUUUUUUGGAUACUGCGUUGUAGCGGCCUUUGGUGGUGGUGGAUUCGUGCUCGGUGGUGUGACAACAAGCCCCGUCUCAAAGGGGCUUCGGGAAAAUGAAGAGCUUUUCAUUAAAGAUCUCCAAAGUCUGGAAAAAAUGGAGGCCAGUAUGGGCAAGUGGACAGAGGAAAUGAAGUGAUGGUAAUUGGUUGUGUCCAAUUAUUGUAAUAACUACUUUGUGUCUUUAAAUCUUUUUAAUGUUUUGUUAUAUGUGGGCUUAGACUGUGGUUGUGUCUCUAAAUCUUUGUUCAUUUCUGCGUACAUGUCUUC